GACGAACCGUGCGAACGUUGUUCGGAAUCACUGGGCUUAAAGGGCGCGUAGGCGGGCUGCCAAGUCUGGGGUGAAAUCCCACGGCUCAACCGUGGAACUGCCUCGGAUACUGGCGGCCUCGAGGGAGGUAGGGGCGUGCGGAACUGUGGGUGGAGCGGUGAAAUGCGUUGAUAUCCACAGGAACUCCGGUGGCGAAGGCGGCACGCUGGACCUUUUCUGACGCUGAGGCGCGAAAGCUAGGGGAGCAAACGGG
Molecule: ribosomal RNA, 253 nt
Filed under: uncultured bacterium
Lineage: Bacteria
Description: partial 16S ribosomal RNA
Rfam family: Bacterial small subunit ribosomal RNA
Source: RNAcentral